Molecule: ribosomal RNA, 253 nt
Filed under: uncultured bacterium
Lineage: Bacteria
Description: partial 16S ribosomal RNA
Rfam family: Bacterial small subunit ribosomal RNA
Source: RNAcentral
UACGGAGGGUGCAAGCGUUAAUCGGAAUUACUGGGCGUAAAGCGUGCGCAGGCGGUUUGUUAAGUCCGUUGUGAAAGCCCCGAGCUCAACUUGGGAAUUGCAGUGGAUACUGGCAGGCUGGAGUACGGUAGAGGAAGGUGGAAUUCCCGGUGUAGCAGUGAAAUGCGCAGAUAUCAGGAGGAACACCGGUGGCGAAGGCGGGUCUCUGGGCCGUAACUGACGCUGAGGAGCGAAAGCGUGGGGAGCGAACAGG